CUGAAAUUCAGCUGGAAGCCUGGCUCCUCGUUUGUCAUAAAGCCUGCUGUUGGUGAUAGCUGACAAAGACCCUAAUGCGGAAUGGGUUGAGGUUCCCUUACUGACCUCACCUUUGUUUCUGUCUGCGAACAAGAGCCUUGAAACACACCAGAAUGCUUUAAGUUUUUCAGGAAAACUCAUGAUCUACCUUUGAUGUGUUGACAUGUGAGAAACAGCUCUGAGACCUAUCAGCUGACAACUGCUACACCAGCAGAUAAUACUUAGUCACACUUUACAAAGGCACUUCAGUUUGCAAUUCCUGGUCUAAGAUUGAGCUUGGUUGAGAAAAGAAGGGAAAAAGAAAAAGACAAAGAGGAAGACAAAGAAGGGAAAAAGGAAGAGGAGGCAGAGGAAGAAGAAAUUUGCACCUCUCCCUGAAAUGAGGGGAAGGACUCGGUCAGUGUGAAAGGAUAUCCGUGUUAUGGAGGAAGCAAGCUUUGUAUCCAGAAAAGAAUGGUUCCUCUACCAGUCCACCCCAAAAUUUCUGGCAUGUUUUGUGACUAAGAAAAUGGCUCCCGCAGAGUCUGUAAACAAUUUUGGUUUUUCUUUUUCAGGAAUAGAAAAUCACUGGAGAAUAGAAA
Molecule: long non-coding RNA, 620 nt
Filed under: Equus asinus (donkey)
Lineage: Eukaryota; Metazoa; Chordata; Mammalia; Perissodactyla; Equidae
Description: lncRNA (ENSEASG00005032441.1)
Source: RNAcentral